GACGAACGCUGGCGGCGUGCUUAACACAUGCAAGUCGAACGGUGAAGCGCCUUCCUUUUUGGUGGGUGUGGAUGAGUGGCGAACGGGUGAGUAACACGUUAGUAACCUGCCCCCUUCUUCUGGAUAACCGCAUGAAAGUGUGGCUAAUACGGGAUAUUCUGGGUCUGUCGCAUGAUGGGUCUGGGAAAGAUAUUGUUUCGGUGGGUGAUGGGCUCGCGGCCUAUCAGCUUGUUGGUGGGGUGAUGGCCUACCAAGGCGGUGACGGGUAGCCGGCCUGAGAGGGUGGACGGUCACACUGGGACUGAGACACGGCCCAGACUCCUACGGGAGGCAGCAGUGGGGAAUAUUGCACAAUGGGCGCAAGCCUGAUGCAGCGACGCCGCGUGAGGGAUGGAGGCCUUCGGGUUGUGAACCUCUUUCGCCAGUGAAGCAGGCCUGCCUCGUUUGUGGGUGGGUUGACGGUAGCUGGAUAAGAAGCGCCGGCUAACUACGUG
This 494-nucleotide ribosomal RNA is filed under the name uncultured bacterium. Its description in RNAcentral is "partial 16S ribosomal RNA". It matches the Rfam family "Bacterial small subunit ribosomal RNA", at positions 28 to 507 of the family's 1533-position model. The record is from RNAcentral.